This 471-nucleotide ribosomal RNA is filed under the name Carybdea arborifera. Its description in RNAcentral is "partial 16S ribosomal RNA". It matches the Rfam family "Bacterial large subunit ribosomal RNA", at positions 1825 to 2465 of the family's 2925-position model. The record is from RNAcentral. Lineage: Eukaryota; Metazoa; Cnidaria; Cubozoa; Carybdeida; Carybdeidae.
GCUACUACUAAGGUAUAGGUAUAGCUAGUGAAACCUGCUCACUGAUAUAGAAUAAGCAUAGCAAUUAAUAUUGAAGAGCCGCGGUAACUCUGACCGUGCUAAGGUAGCAUAAUCAAUCGCCUCUUAAUUGGAGGCUAGAAUGAAAGGAAUAACGAGUCCCUCUCUGUCUCAAGUGCAGGCAAGUCGAAAUUUAGUACCUCGUUAAGACGCGAGGAACCCCUGGUUAGACGAGAAGACCCCGUCGAGCUUUACUUUAAUUUAUCGAAUACAGGGUUCCUUGGAAAGGAACUAACUUCGGAUAAUGAAAUAGUUUAGUUGGGGUGACUGCCCAAAAUUUAUAAACUUUGGGUGAACAACGGUUUCUUAUAAAAUAGUAAUCUUUACUGAAGGGGGGACACCCUUUUCAGUUACAAAGUAGUGUAGGUUUUAAAAACCCGUUCUCUAUAGGGGAACGAUAUCGUAUAAAAGCUA